GAAAUGCGAUAAGUAAUGUGAAUUGCAGAAUUCCGUGAAUCAUCGAAUCUUUGAACGCACAUUGCGCCCUCUGGUAUUCCGGGGGGCAUGCCUGUCCGAGCGUCAUUGCAAACCCUCAAGCACGGCUUGUGUGAUGGGCCCUCCCGCGUCUUGGUCGUCAAGACGGGCCCGAAAUGCAGUGGCGGCUUCGCGGUUAUCCGAUCAGCCAGAGCGUAUGGGGACUCUCUCUCUUGUCACACGCCCGCGGCGCGGACCGACGCCUGUCGACCUUUAUUCAUCUUCUCUCGGUUGACCUCGGAUCAGGUAGGGAUACCCGCUGAACUUAAGC
This 328-nucleotide unclassified non-coding RNA is filed under the name plant metagenome. RNAcentral describes it as "partial contains 5.8S ribosomal RNA, internal transcribed spacer 2, and large subunit ribosomal RNA". The stretch from base 1 to 105 matches the Rfam family "5.8S ribosomal RNA", at positions 50 to 154 of the family's 154-position model. The record is from RNAcentral.